This 200-nucleotide ribosomal RNA is filed under the name uncultured bacterium. RNAcentral describes it as "partial 16S ribosomal RNA". It matches the Rfam family "Bacterial small subunit ribosomal RNA", at positions 1301 to 1500 of the family's 1533-position model. The record is from RNAcentral.
CAGCCUGCAACUCGGCUGCAUGAAGCUGGAAUCGCUAGUAAUCGCGGAUCAGAACGCCGCGGUGAAUGCGUUCCCGGGUCUUGUACACACCGCCCGUCACACCAUGGGAGCCGGAAACGCCCGAAGCCAGCGGCCUAACCGCAAGGAGGGAGCUGUCGAAGGCGGGGCCGGUGACCGGGGUGAAGUCGUAACAAGGUAGC